GACAAAAGCCGUGACGCUAAAAUUGUGUCACAUAUAUUCAACUGUGACUAAAUUCCAUGUUUCAAUGACGACUACCCCUCUUCACAAAAGGCAUGUUUUCUUGUAGUGGUCGUUACAGGGAAUGAUGGAUACCAAGUUCAAAAGAAGCAUUGUAUUUCAUCCACAGACAGAUGGGCAAACGAAGGUCGUAAACCGAACUAUGGUACACUUGUUGAGGGGUUACAAUUCCAAGCAUCCAAAAACUUGGGAUGAAAGUCUCCCUUACUUACAGUUUCCUUUUAACCGAGGAAUUCAUGGCUCUACACUCAAAUCUCCAUUAGAGGUUUGUUUGAGUUACUUACCCCAGAGUUCUUUUGAUUUAUUAUUUACUAUGAGUGACCAACCAAUAAGUGGGAAAGAAGAAGAACAUAUUCGAGCACAUAAAUUUCUCAGACGAGUCAGAAAUAUUCAUGCUGAAGUGGAGGCACAAUUGAAACGUUCUUAGCAAUGAUAUAAAGUUCACCAUGAUAAGCAUCGUGUGCCAUGUAACUUCAAAGAAGGUGACCUAGUAUGGUUACACCUUGGAAAGGGGAGGCUAACCGAUGUAGGCAAGAAAGUAAAGCCUAUUCAUUAUGGACCGUUCAAGAUCAUCAAAUAAAUUGGUGAUAAUGCCUUUCAACUUGAAUUACCACCAUACAUGCAUAUGUACUCGGUCAUCAAGGCCGAGAAUCCUAAACUUUUUGAGCCAUCUCUACUUGAUGAUCCAGACGAAGACAGACCUUCCAUCAGUUGAUGACUUAAAGAUUGAACAAGAAGAUCCUUUGCAGGAGGAUUGUAUCUUAGAACAAAAGGUUCAUGAGACUCGACAUGGAAAGUCUGAGUAUUUUCAUAUUUGUAGAAAAGGUCAACUUCCUAGCAAGUCGAAGUGGUAUAUUCAAGACAAGGCAAUAACAAAGUUUCCUCAUCUCACAAUUUAACUUCACC
Molecule: long non-coding RNA, 963 nt
Filed under: Prunus dulcis (almond)
Lineage: Eukaryota; Viridiplantae; Streptophyta; Magnoliopsida; Rosales; Rosaceae
Description: sRNA ncRNA
Source: RNAcentral